This 497-nucleotide ribosomal RNA is filed under the name uncultured bacterium. Its description in RNAcentral is "partial 16S ribosomal RNA". It matches the Rfam family "Bacterial small subunit ribosomal RNA", at positions 28 to 507 of the family's 1533-position model. The record is from RNAcentral.
GAUGAACGCUGGCGGCGUGCCUAAUACAUGCCAGUCGAGCGAACAGACGAGGAGCUUGCUCCUCUGACGUUAGCGGCGGACGGGUGAGUAACACGUGGAUAACCUACCUAUAAGACUGGGAUAACUUCGGGAAACCGGAGCUAAUACCGGAUAAUAUCUUGAACCGCAUGGUUCAAUAGUGAAAGACGGUUUUGCUGUCACUUAUAGAUGGAUCCGCGCCACAUUAGCUAGUUGGUAAGGUAACGGCUUACCAAGGCAACGAUGCGUAGCCGACCUGAGAGGGUGAUCGGCCACACUGGAACUGAGACACGGUCCAGACUCCUACGGGAGGCAGCAGUAGGGAAUCUUCCGCAAUGGGCGAAAGCCUGACGGAGCAACGCCGCGUGAGUGAUGAAGGUCUUCGGAUCGUAAAACUCUGUUAUUAGGGAAGAACAAAUGUGUAAGUAACUAUGCACGUCUUGACGGUACCUAAUCAGAAAGCCACGGCUAACUACGUG